AUCUGGUCUCAGCUCUGAAGUCCAACCCCUCCCAUCUGAGAGAGCUGAACCUGAGUCUGAACAACCUGAAGGAUUCAGGAGUGAAGCUGCUGUGUGGUUUUCUGGAGAGUCCACACUGUAGACUGGAGACUCUGAGCUGGAAGUGAUCUCAGUCAGAGUGUGAGUGGUGAGGAAGGAGGUUGUGUUGGAGGAUCAGCUGUGUCCUGAUGAUCCAGAGAGGUUGAAGCAGCAGCAUCAGCUCUGACUGGGCCAUGUUACUGGGAGGUAGAGUGGAGAGGAGAGCUUCAUCCAGCAGUGACUGACAGAGGAAUCACAACCAGUGGAGAUGACUCUCAGUGCUGCAGUCUGAACUGCUCUGAGAUCAGCUCCACUGUCAGACACAAUGUCAAGUCCACCAUCAUCCCUGUGUGUUCCUCUGGAUGUGACAGAGUAUCAUCAGUGUAUCUGGACUGCUCUGCUGCUGCUCUGUCCUUCUACACAGUCUCUGCAGACACACUGAGACUCCUCCACUCCUUCUGCUCCACACUCAACCACCUCCUCCACCUGGAACCUCCACC
This is a long non-coding RNA of Dicentrarchus labrax (European seabass), 557 nucleotides long. RefSeq lists it as uncharacterized. The transcript has 2 exons. The record is from RefSeq and is a predicted model, not a curated record. NCBI's taxonomy places the organism in Eukaryota, Metazoa, Chordata, Actinopteri, Moronidae.